RNAcentral lists this ribosomal RNA (2904 nucleotides) under Shigella flexneri 2a. Its description in RNAcentral is "23S ribosomal RNA". It matches the Rfam family "Bacterial large subunit ribosomal RNA". The record is from RNAcentral. Lineage: Bacteria; Pseudomonadati; Pseudomonadota; Gammaproteobacteria; Enterobacterales; Enterobacteriaceae.
GGUUAAGCGACUAAGCGUACACGGUGGAUGCCCUGGCAGUCAGAGGCGAUGAAGGACGUGCUAAUCUGCGAUAAGCGUCGGUAAGGUGAUAUGAACCGUUAUAACCGGCGAUUUCCGAAUGGGGAAACCCAGUGUGAUUCGUCACACUAUCAUUAACUGAAUCCAUAGGUUAAUGAGGCGAACCGGGGGAACUGAAACAUCUAAGUACCCCGAGGAAAAGAAAUCAACCGAGAUUCCCCCAGUAGCGGCGAGCGAACGGGGAGCAGCCCAGAGCCUGAAUCAGUGUGUGUGUUAGUGGAAGCGUCUGGAAAGGCGUGCGAUACAGGGUGACAGCCCCGUACACAAAAAUGCACAUACUGUGAGCUCGAUGAGUAGGGCGGGACACGUGGUAUCCUGUCUGAAUAUGGGGGGACCAUCCUCCAAGGCUAAAUACUCCUGACUGACCGAUAGUGAACCAGUACCGUGAGGGAAAGGCGAAAAGAACCCCGGCGAGGGGAGUGAAAAAGAACCUGAAACCGUGUACGUACAAGCAGUGGGAGCACGCUUAGGCGUGUGACUGCGUACCUUUUGUAUAAUGGGUCAGCGACUUAUAUUCUGUAGCAAGGUUAACCGAAUAGGGGAGCCGAAGGGAAACCGAGUCUUAACUGGGCGUUAAGUUGCAGGGUAUAGACCCGAAACCCGGUGAUCUAGCCAUGGGCAGGUUGAAGGUUGGGUAACACUAACUGGAGGACCGAACCGACUAAUGUUGAAAAAUUAGCGGAUGACUUGUGGCUGGGGGUGAAAGGCCAAUCAAACCGGGAGAUAGCUGGUUCUCCCCGAAAGCUAUUUAGGUAGCGCCUCGUGAAUUCAUCUCCGGGGGUAGAGCACUGUUUCGGCAAGGGGGUCAUCCCGACUUACCAACCCGAUGCAAACUGCGAAUACCGGAGAAUGUUAUCACGGGAGACACACGGCGGGUGCUAACGUCCGUCGUGAAGAGGGAAACAACCCAGACCGCCAGCUAAGGUCCCAAAGUCAUGGUUAAGUGGGAAACGAUGUGGGAAGGCCCAGACAGCCAGGAUGUUGGCUUAGAAGCAGCCAUCAUUUAAAGAAAGCGUAAUAGCUCACUGGUCGAGUCGGCCUGCGCGGAAGAUGUAACGGGGCUAAACCAUGCACCGAAGCUGCGGCAGCGACGCUUAUGCGUUGUUGGGUAGGGGAGCGUUCUGUAAGCCUGUGAAGGUGUGCUGUGAGGUAUGCUGGAGGUAUCAGAAGUGCGAAUGCUGACAUAAGUAACGAUAAAGCGGGUGAAAAGCCCGCUCGCCGGAAGACCAAGGGUUCCUGUCCAACGUUAAUCGGGGCAGGGUGAGUCGACCCCUAAGGCGAGGCCGAAAGGCGUAGUCGAUGGGAAACAGGUUAAUAUUCCUGUACUUGGUGUUACUGCGAAGGGGGGACGGAGAAGGCUAUGUUGGCCGGGCGACGGUUGUCCCGGUUUAAGCGUGUAGGCUGGUUUUCCAGGCAAAUCCGGAAAAUCAAGGCCGAGGCGUGAUGACGAGGCACUACGUUGCUGAAGCAACAAAUGCCCUGCUUCCAGGAAAAGCCUCUAAGCAUCAGGUAACAUCAAAUCGUACCCCAAACCGACACAGGUGGUCAGGUAGAGAAUACCAAGGCGCUUGAGAGAACUCGGGUGAAGGAACUAGGCAAAAUGGUGCCGUAACUUCGGGAGAAGGCACGCUGAUACGUAGGUGAAGCGACUUGCUCGUGGAGCUGAAAUCAGUCGAAGAUACCAGCUGGCUGCAACUGUUUAUUAAAAACACAGCACUGUGCAAACACGAAAGUGGACGUAUACGGUGUGACGCCUGCCCGGUGCCGGAAGGUUAAUUGAUGGGGUUAGCGCAAGCGAAGCUCUUGAUCGAAGCCCCGGUAAACGGCGGCCGUAACUAUAACGGUCCUAAGGUAGCGAAAUUCCUUGUCGGGUAAGUUCCGACCUGCACGAAUGGCGUAAUGAUGGCCAGGCUGUCUCCACCCGAGACUCAGUGAAAUUGAACUCGCUGUGAAGAUGCAGUGUACCCGCGGCAAGACGGAAAGACCCCGUGAACCUUUACUAUAGCUUGACACUGAACAUUGAGCCUUGAUGUGUAGGAUAGGUGGGAGGCUUUGAAGUGUGGACGCCAGUCUGCAUGGAGCCGACCUUGAAAUACCACCCUUUAAUGUUUGAUGUUCUAACGUGGACCCGUGAUCCGGGUUGCGGACAGUGUCUGGUGGGUAGUUUGACUGGGGCGGUCUCCUCCUAAAGAGUAACGGAGGAGCACGAAGGUUGGCUAAUCCUGGUCGGACAUCAGGAGGUUAGUGCAAUGGCAUAAGCCAGCUUGACUGCGAGCGUGACGGCGCGAGCAGGUGCGAAAGCAGGUCAUAGUGAUCCGGUGGUUCUGAAUGGAAGGGCCAUCGCUCAACGGAUAAAAGGUACUCCGGGGAUAACAGGCUGAUACCGCCCAAGAGUUCAUAUCGACGGCGGUGUUUGGCACCUCGAUGUCGGCUCAUCACAUCCUGGGGCUGAAGUAGGUCCCAAGGGUAUGGCUGUUCGCCAUUUAAAGUGGUACGCGAGCUGGGUUUAGAACGUCGUGAGACAGUUCGGUCCCUAUCUGCCGUGGGCGCUGGAGAACUGAGGGGGGCUGCUCCUAGUACGAGAGGACCGGAGUGGACGCAUCACUGGUGUUCGGGUUGUCAUGCCAAUGGCACUGCCCGGUAGCUAAAUGCGGAAGAGAUAAGUGCUGAAAGCAUCUAAGCACGAAACUUGCCCCGAGAUGAGUUCUCCCUGACCCUUUAAGGGUCCUGAAGGAACGUUGAAGACGACGACGUUGAUAGGCCGGGUGUGUAAGCGCAGCGAUGCGUUGAGCUAACCGGUACUAAUGAACCGUGAGGCUUAACCUU